Long non-coding RNA from Oncorhynchus tshawytscha (Chinook salmon), 895 nucleotides. The record is from Ensembl. NCBI's taxonomy places the organism in Eukaryota, Metazoa, Chordata, Actinopteri, Salmoniformes, Salmonidae.
CUCCAACCCUGUUCCUGGAGAGAGACCCUCCUGUAGGUUUUAACUCCAACCCUGUUCCUGGAGAGACCCUCCUGUAGGUUUUAGACUCCAACCCUGUUCCUGGAGAGAGACCCUCCUGUAGGUAACUCCAACCCUGUUCCUGGAGAGAGACCCUCCAGUAGGUAACUCCAAACCUGUUCCUGGAGAGAGACCCUCCUGUAGGUAACUCCAACCCUGUUCCUGGAGAGAGACCCUCCUGUAGGUUUUAACUCCAACCCUGUUCCUGGAGAGAGACCCUCCUGUAGGUAACUCCAACCCUGUUCCUGGAGAGAGACCCUCCUGUAGGUAACUCCAACCCUGUUCCUGUAGAGAGACCCUCCUGUAGGUAACUCCAACCCUGUUCCUGGAGAGAGACCCUCCUGUAGGUAACUCCAACCCUGUUCCUGGAGAGAGACCCUCCUGUAGGUAACUCCAACCCUGUUCCUGGAGAGAAACCCUCCUGUAGGUUUACACUCCAACCCUGUUCCUGGAGAGAGACCCUCCAGUAGGUUUUAACUCAACCCUGUUCCUGGAGAGAGACCCUCCUGUAGGUAACUCCAACCCUGUUCCUGGAGAGAGACCCUCCUGUAGGUAACUCCAACCCUGUUCCUGGAGAGAGACCCUCCUGUAGGUAACUCCAACCCUGUUCCUGGAGAGAGACCCUCCUGUAGGUAACUCCAACCCUGUUCCUGGAGAGAAACCCUCCUGUAGGUUUAACUCCAACCCUGUUCCUGGAGAGAGACCCUCCUGUAGGUUUUAACUCCAACCCUGUUCCUGGAGAGAGACCCUCCUGUAGGUUUUAACUCCAACCCUGUUCCUGGAGAGAGACCCUCCUGUAGGUUUUAACUCCAACCCUGUUCCUGGAGAGAGACCCUCC